UCAGGCAAAACGAGUCACGGCACACAGCUCAGUAACACGUGGCUAAUCUGCCCUUGGGACUAGAACAACCCCGGGAAACUGGGGCUAAAUCUAGAUAGGUGAAGAACUCUGGAAUGAGUCUUUGCCUAAAUAGGUUCACGUUAUCCUCGUGAACUUGCCCAAGGAUGAGGCCGCGACCGAUCAGGUUGUUGGCGAGGUAAUGGCUCACCAAGCCUUUUACCGGUGCGGGCCGUGGGAGCGGGAGCCCGGAGAUGGGUACUGGGACAAGGACCCAGGCCCUACGGGGCGCAGCAGUCGCGAAACCUUUGCAAUACACGAAAGUGUGACAGGGCUAUCCCGAGUGCCAUCCGCUGAGGAAGGCUUUUACCCAGUCUAGAACGCUGGGGGAAUAAGGAGAGGGCAAGUCUGGUGUCAGCCGCCGCGGUAAUACCAGCUCUCCGAGUGGUGUGGAUGUUUAUUGGGCCUAAAGCAUCCGUAGCUGGCUAGGUAAGUCCUUUGUUAAAUCCACCGAAUUAAUCGUUGGAUCGCGGGGGAUACUGCUUGGCUAGGGGACGAGAGAGGCAGACGGUAUUUUUGGGGUAGGGGGUGAAAUCCUAUAGUCCCAGGAAGACCACCAGUGGCGAAGGCUGUCUGCUAGAACGCGCCCGACGGUGAGGGAUGAAAGCUGGGGGAGCGAACCGGAUUAGAUACCCGGGUAGUCCCAGCUGUAAACGAUGCAGGCUAGGUGUUUGGACGGCCACGUGCCGUUCUAGUGCCGCAGGGAAGCUGUUAAGCCUGCCGCCUGGGGAGUACGAUCGCAAGAUUGAAACUUAA
Molecule: ribosomal RNA, 813 nt
Filed under: uncultured crenarchaeote
Lineage: Archaea; Thermoproteati; Thermoproteota
Description: bacterial SSU rRNA
Rfam family: Archaeal small subunit ribosomal RNA
Source: RNAcentral